CCGCCAUCUUUCUGUGCCGCCACAAUGGUGCGCAUGAACGUCCGGGCCGAUGCCCUCAAGAGCAUCAACAAUGCUGAAAAGAGAGGCAAAUGCCAGGUUCUUAUUACGCCGUGCUCCAAAGUCAUCGUCAGGUCUCUAACGGUGAUGAUGAAGCAUGGUUACAUUGGCGAAUUUGAAAUCAUCGACGAUCACAGAGCUGGGAAAAUUGUUGUGAACCUCACAGGCAGGCUAAAUAAGUGUGGAGUUAUCAGCCCAAGGUUUGAUGUGCAACUCAAAGAUCUAGAAAAAUGGCAGAAUAACCUGCUCCUGUCCUGUCAGUUUGGGUUCAUUGUACUUACAACCUCAGCUGGCAUCAUGGACCAUGAAGAAGCAAGACGAAAACACACAGAAGGGAAAAUCCUUGGAUUCUUUUUCUAGGGAUGUAAUACAUAUGUGCAAAUAAAAUGGCUCAGUGGAAAAAAAAAAAAAAAA
RNA transcript from Sus scrofa (pig), 471 nucleotides. It is a transcript of the gene named small ribosomal subunit protein uS8 pseudogene, with no coding region annotated. The record is from RefSeq and is a predicted model, not a curated record. NCBI's taxonomy places the organism in Eukaryota, Metazoa, Chordata, Mammalia, Artiodactyla, Suidae.